GGUCCAUGGCUCAGUGGCAGAGCACCUGCUUUGCAUGCUGAAGGUCCCAGGUUCAAUCCCCAGCAUCUCCA
Molecule: non-coding RNA, 71 nt
Organism: Podarcis lilfordi (Lilford's wall lizard)
Lineage: Eukaryota; Metazoa; Chordata; Lepidosauria; Squamata; Lacertidae
Source: the annotation of a GenBank genome assembly